This 476-nucleotide ribosomal RNA is filed under the name uncultured bacterium. RNAcentral describes it as "bacterial SSU rRNA". It matches the Rfam family "Bacterial small subunit ribosomal RNA", at positions 29 to 506 of the family's 1533-position model. The record is from RNAcentral.
AUGAACGCUAGCGGCAGGCUUAACACAUGCAAGUCGAGGGGUAUAAGUAGCAAUACUUAGAGACCGGCAAACGGGUGCGGAACACGUACGCAAUCUACCCUUACCCGGGGCAUAGCCCGAAGAAAUUCGGAUUAACACCGCAUAAGAUAUUAGAAAGGCAUCUUUCAGAUAUUAAAAAUUUAUUGGGUAAGGAUGAGCGUGCGUCCCAUUAGCUAGUUGGUAGGGUAACGGCCUACCAAGGCGACGAUGGGUAGCUGGUGUGAGAGCACGACCAGCCACACGGGCACUGAGACACGGGCCCGACUCCUACGGGAGGCAGCAGUGAGGAAUAUUGGUCAAUGGACGCAAGUCUGAACCAGCCAUGCCGCGUGAAGGAUGAAGGCCUUCUGGGUUGUAAACUUCUUUUAUCUGGGAAGAAACCUCCGAUUUCUAUUGGAGUUGACGGUACCAGAGGAAUAAGCACCGGCUAACUCCGU